AUUCAAGUUACAAAGUGCAUACGGUGGAUGCCUUGGCAGUAAAAGGCGAUGAAGGACGUGGUAGCCUGCGAAAAGCUUCGGGGAGAUGGCAAACAAUCUUUGAUCCGAAGAUAUCCGAAUGGGAAAACCCACCCCUUUUUAAGGGGUAUCACUAUCUGAAUACAUAGGAUAGUGAGGCGAACCUGGAGAACUGAAACAUCUAAGUACCCAGAGGAAAAGAAAUCAACCGAGAUUCCGUAAGUAGUGGCGAACGAAAGCGGAGCAGCCCGUAGUUUAGUCUUUGACACGUUAGUUGAAUGGUUUGGGAAGGCCAGUCAUAGAAGGUGAAAGCCCUGUAAACGAAAACCUGUCAAAUGUACGCUACAUAGAGUAGGGCGGGACACGAGAAAUCCUGUUUGAACAUGGGGGGACCAUCCUCCAAGGCUAAAUACUCUUUACUGACCGAUAGUGAACAAGUACCGUGAGGGAAAGGUGAAAAGAACCCCUGUUAGGGGAGUGAAAUAGAACCUGAAACCGUAUGCAUACAAGCAGUAGGAGCACUGAUACAUAAGUUUACUUAUGUAUGUGGUGUGACUGCGUACCUUUUGUAUAAUGGGUCAGCGACUUACUUGCAGUGGCAAGCUUAACUGAAUAAGGGAGGCGUAGGGAAACCGAGUCUUAAUAGGGCGUUAAGUCGCUGUGAGUAGACCCGAAACCGGGCGAUCUAUCCAUGAGCAGGGUGAAAGUUAGGUAACACUGACCGGAGGCCCGAACCCGUUGAUGUUGAAAAAUCUUGGGAUGACUUGUGGAUUGGAGUGAAAGGCUAAACAAGCCCGGAGAUAGCUGGUUCUUCUCGAAAGCUAUUUAGGUAGCGCCUCGCGUAUAACUUCCAGGGGUAGAGCACUGUAUAGGCUAGGGGGCUGUCAUGGCUUACCAAACUUAUGCAAACUACGAAUACUGGAAAGUUUUAGCGCGGGAGACACACUAUGGGUGAUAAGGUCCAUAGUGGAGAGGGAAACAGCCCAGACCGCCAGCUAAGGUCCCAAAGUUAUGAUUAAGUGGCAAACGAUGUGAAGGGGCAUAGACAGCCAGGAGGUUGGCUUGGAAGCAGCCAUCCUUUAAAGAAAGCGUAAUAGCUCACUGGUCAAGUCUGUUUGCGCGGAAGAUUUAACGGGGCUUAAAUCAUACACCGAAGCUGCGGAACCGAGACAUUAGUCUUGGUUGGUAGAGAAGCGUUCUGUAGGCCGAUGAAGGUGAAUCGAGAGGUUUGCUGGAGGUAUCAGAAGUGCGAAUGCUGACAUGAGUAACGAUAAUGCGGGUGAAAACCCCGCACGCCGAAAGUCCAAGGUUUCCUUGCGCAACGCCAAUCGGCGCAGGGUAAGUCGGCCCCUAAGGCGAGGCAGAAAUGCGUAGUCGAUGGGAAACAGGUUAAUAUUCCUGUACUUUGUUAUAUUGCGAUGGAGGGACGGAGAAAGCUAGACCAGCCAGGUGAUGGUUGUCCUGGUGCAAGCAUGUAGGUUGACCCUUUGGUAAAUCCGGGGGUCUUUAAGCCGAGAUGUGAUGACGGUCACAGAGGCUUCGGCCGACGUGAGAAGUGGUUAACGCUAUGCUUCCAAGAAAAGCUUCUAAGCUUCAGAUAUAACAGAACCGUACUCCAAACCGACACAGGUGGACGAGUAGAGAAUACUAAGGCGUUGAGAUAACUUGGGUGAAGGAACUCGGCAAAAUAACACCGUAACUUCGGGAGAAGGUGUGCCUCUGAUGGUGAUAAAACUUGCUUUUUGAGCUGUUGGGGGUCGAAGUGACCAGGUGGCUGAGACUGUUUAUUAAAAACACAGCACUCUGCAAACUCGCAAGAGGAAGUAUAGGGUGUGACGCCUGCCCGGUGCCGGAAGGUUAAUUGAUGCAGUUAGCGUAAGCAAAGCUGUUGAUCGAAGCCCCGGUAAACGGCGGCCGUAACUAUAACGGUCCUAUGGUAGCGAAAUUCCUUGUCGGGUAAGUUCCGACCUGCACGAAUGGCGUAACAAUGGCCACGCUGUCUCCACCCAGGGCUCAGUGAAAUUGAAUUUGCUGUGAAGAUGCAGUAUUCCCGCGGCAAGACGGAAAGACCCCGUGAACCUUUACUAUAGCUUUAUACUGAAUUUUGGUUAUGUUUGUGUAGGAUAGGUGGGAGACUUUGAAGCAAAAGCGCUAGCUUUUGUGGAGUCAUCCUUGAAAUACCACCCUGACAUAACUGGAGUUCUAACCUAGUCCCGUAAUCCGGGACAGGGACAGUGUAUGGUGGGUAGUUUGACUGGGGCGGUCUCCUCCUAAAGAGUAACGGAGGAGCACAAAGGUACCCUCAGCACGGUCGGAAAUCGUGCAAUGAGUGCAAAGGCAUAAGGGUGCUUGACUGCGAGACUGACAGGUCAAGCAGGUACGAAAGUAGGUCUUAGUGAUCCGGUGGUUCUGUAUGGAAGGGCCAUCGCUCAACGAAUAAAAGGUACUCCGGGGAUAACAGGCUGAUACCGCCCAAGAGUUCAUAUCGACGGCGGUGUUUGGCACCUCGAUGUCGGCUCAUCACAUCCUGGGGCUGGAGCAGGUCCCAAGGGUAUGGCUGUUCGCCAUUUAAAGUGGUACGCGAGCUGGGUUUAGAACGUCGUAAGACAGUUCGGUCCCUAUCUGCCGUGGGCGUAGGAAAUUUGAGAAGAUCUGCACCUAGUACGAGAGGACCGGUGUGGACGUACCUCUGGUGUACCGGUUGUCAUGCCAAUGGCAUUGCCGGGUAGCUAAGUACGGAAGGGAUAACCGCUGAAAGCAUCUAAGUGGGAAGCCCACUUCAAGACUAGAUUUCCCCCCGUAAGGCUAAAGGUCUGUUGUAGACAACAACGUUGAUAGGCUGGAUGUGUAAGUACAGCAAUGUAUUGAGCUAACCAGUACUAAUAGACCGUGAGGCUUGAAUUC
This 2922-nucleotide ribosomal RNA is filed under the name Gammaproteobacteria bacterium. RNAcentral describes it as "23S ribosomal RNA". It matches the Rfam family "Bacterial large subunit ribosomal RNA". Lineage: Bacteria; Pseudomonadati; Pseudomonadota; Gammaproteobacteria. The record is from RNAcentral.